RNAcentral lists this long non-coding RNA (3430 nucleotides) under Citrus sinensis (sweet orange). Its description in RNAcentral is "long non-coding RNA (CSIN_LNC003319)". Lineage: Eukaryota; Viridiplantae; Streptophyta; Magnoliopsida; Sapindales; Rutaceae. The record is from RNAcentral.
GGUCAUCCCUGAUCACGAAGAAACGCAACACACUAUAAGCUCUAAAAUUUCUUUUAGACUCCAUUUUUAGCACUUCGUACUUUUCUUUAUAUUAGUUAUAUAUAAAUACACCGUUCAUCUCUCUUCUUCAAAUCAAAAUUCAAAUUGGAAGUUCUUGCAUUCCCCAUCUUUCCAACUAAUUUGUGGUCUCUUUGGCAAAACAAAAUUAAUUUAUAGGUCAAACCAUGAGAAGCAAAGCAAACGUGCAAAGCAAGUUCAAGCACUACAUGGAAAAACCCAGAAAGAUUUUACGCAAGGCCAGAGACUUCUAUGUGAGGAGCAUGGAGGAUUGUGCAAAUAUGAUCAGUUACGGCGGCGUGAUGGCCGGGCCCGGGAUACAAGUAUCAAAUUUACCGAGAAGUUUUAGCGUCAAUUACUCGAAUUCAAGGAACAAGGAAACAUUUAGAGAAGCUUCAGCUGCAGUGAAUAAUAAAAUAAGAAAUGAUAAGGACUUGAAUUAUGUGAAGGAAAAAGAAUUGGAACGGCAAAAGUUGGAGAAUAGGUCAAUGAAGAGAAGCUACACUAGUGCCGGAUUGGGAAAAAUUCGAACUAUUGAUGAGGACAAGCCUUGUUAUUUUGAAGACGAUAUGAUUUAUGCUAGAAGCAGAAGUUGGGCUCUCAGGAGAAAUUUUUAGUAUUGCUGUCAUACAUUGGAAAAUUGAGAUUGAUUGUGAUUUUGAACAAUAUUUGAAUGGAUUCUCUAAAAUUCAUUAAUUGGUUUAGUUACGUGUACAAGGUGUGCAUGUUGCAUGCAUAUAAUAUGGAUAAUGACCGUUUGUUCUAAGAAAUUACGUAAUGAAAUUUGUUUGUUAUCCAUAUAGUUGAAAAUUUACAUCACCAUAAUUUAACAAUUGUGUCACUUUUAUGCUUCUUUUUAAUAUAAUCAAUCAUAAUAAAACAAUAAUGCUAGACAUUCCAAAUUCUAUCCUAACAUUUUUUUCUCAAAUAAUGCAGCAUGUGUCAUGUGAUGUGGCACUCAGCUACUUUUGUUUAUUUAUUUUUUAUUUAACUCACACAUCCACUGAAACUCAAAUUCAAGACCUAAGUUUUAGAAAGACCUAUUCCUUAUUACUAGAACUAGAUCCUAUUUUAAUCAUCAUCCUCUUGAUGACUGAUCAUAUAUCCUAUCAUUUAAGAUAAAAUUUUAAGUAUUUUAAGUAUUUGACAUUACUGUAGAAGUAAGUGCUUGAUAAGAAUGCAAUGAUGUUUGUUAAAUGUAUGCAAGAAGCUUUUGACACUAAUAAAGUGGCAGUGAGCUAGAGUUACCAAACUGAUAUGGAGCAUGAAUCAGUAUUGGCUCAAGAACAAUCGAGAGUUAGUUAGAGGGGUCCGGCUACGGUGCAACGGUGGUACCGUGCCACCGUUGGAUCCACUUGGAUGGAUGGAUCUAUUGGGAUCCAAUGACUGAAUACAACAGUGGCACGGUACCACCAUUGCACCAUAGUUUUCUCCUAGUUAGAGAUAAGGUAAAAACAAAGAAAGAAGACAACGAUCAUGUGAUAUAUGUAUGGUACAAUAGCACCCGCCAUUAGAUCAAUUGAUUUGCAACCAUUAGAUUAAUGACAGCUGUAACUAGGGCAACAUAGGCUUUCUAUCAAGGUAUGCACUGAUGUAUAAUUAAAAAAGAAAGUGAAUGAAAACAACAUGCUGUGUACCAUCAAUUAUUCCUCUUGCAUGUGCCAUCUGUCAUGACAACUUAAGAUAGAUAGAAAUUUAACUAUUGCUGGUGCUUCUGCUACUAAUAAUAAUAAUAAUAAAGAAAAUUUGAAACAUGUGUUGCUACUAAUAAUAAUAAUAAUAAAAAUUUGAAAUACGUGGUAUGAUUUUAUUAGAUGGUCUUAUUGGGACCAUUUUAUUCAAACUUAUUAUUAUUGGAUGAUCUUACGGGAACCAUUCAAUUGAAACAUUUGUCAUUUUGAAUUUUGAAAAAUAAAUAACACAUUAGUUAUUUAUGACCAAAAGACCUUACGUGUUUUUAGAAUAAUUGACUUAAAUUAUAAAGAUUAAAUGAAUAUAGCCAAGUUGUUAAUUUUGAAAGAAAUUCAGAUGGAACGGCAAGCAGCUUGGUUGCUAAUUCUAUGUAAAAAGGACACAUGUCAACACAAUAGAACUCUUUAAACAAAUGUUUUCUUUGAAAAAAAUAUCUUUUAACAAAUAAAUUAGAUUAUUAAAAUGAGAAAAAACUUCAAAAUUGAGAGCAUCGGCACUUAAUUUCUCAGCCCUGGAGAGAAGAUGCUUGUCAUUUUGCAUUGAUCAAUGUUAAGGAACUAAGAAUCAAAACAAAAUAUUAUUAUAAAUUCAUUUGAAACUUAUGAAUUUAUUGUCAACUUGAUGAUUGAGACAUUAUUUGACAUAAAAUUUUGAGAUACAAUUUGAGAUAUUUAACAUUAUUCAUAAUAAUAAUAAUAAAUUAAAAAUUAAAACAUCUAAUAUGAUUUUAUUAUUAGAUGUUUUAAUUUUUCUUAUUUUAGGAGAAGUUGGUCAGUGAUCAUUAACUUUUUCAAGUCGAGGUUAAGUUAAGAUAUUUAGUUCUCAAAUAAAAUUUCCUUAAAUUAGUAAAAAUUAGGCUACUUAUCCUGUAGAUGUGAAUCCACCUUAUAUUAUAAUAUGCCUCUAUAAUUUUGAAAUAUAAGACAAGCAUUUGGUCAUCGAUCAUCCCCGAUCACGAAGAAACUCAACACACUAUAAGCUCUAAAAUUUCCUUUAGACUCCAUUUUUUUUUUUUUUUUUUUUCAUCGGUCAUCCCUGAUCACGAAGAAACGCAACACACUAUAAGCUCUAAAAUUUCUUUUAGACUCCAUUUUAACACUUCAUACUUCUUCUUUAUAUUGGUUAUAUAUAAAUACACCGUUCAUCUCUCUUCUUCAAAUCAAAAUUCAAUUUGGAAGUUCUUGAAUUCACUAUCUUUCCAACUAAUUUGUGGUCUCUUUGGCAAAACAAAAUUAAUUUAUAGGUCAAACCAUGAGAAGCAAAGCAAACAUGCAAAGCAAGUUCAAGCACUACAUGGAAAAACCCAGAAAGAUUUUACACAAGGCCAGAGACUUCUAUGUGAAGAGCAUGGAGGAUUGUGCAAAUAUGAUCAGUUACGGCGGCGUGAUGGCCGGCCCCGGGAUACAAGUAUCGAAUUUACAGAGGAGUUUUAGCGUCAAUUACUCGAACUCAAGGAACAAGGAAACAUUUAGAGAAGCUUCAGCUGCAGUGAAUAAUAAAAUAAGAAAUGAUAAGGACUUGAAUUAUGUGAAGGAAAAAGAAUUGGAACGGCAAAAGUUGGAGAAUAGGUCAAUGAAGAGAAGCUACACUAGUGCCGGAUUGGGAAAAAUUCGAACUAUUGAUGAGGACAAGCCUUGUAAUUUUGAAGACGAUAUGAUUUAUGCUAGAAGCAGAAGUUGGG